GUCUUGAGGUCUUUCUGAGUGUAGCCUUCAUUGAUUUGAGAUCUACCACACCAUUCUCUCACUAGAAGGGAAAACCUAUAAUGGCAGCAGGCCGUAAAAGAGACCCAGUUUGGGAAUAUUUUAAUGAAGUUCUUCUACCUGUGGGUAAGACAGGCAUGUGUGCAAAAUGCAAACAGUGCAACAAAGAAAUUUAAGGCCUUUUUGCCCAAAUGAAACAACGUCAUGAGAAGUGUUCCUUCUCAGGAGGAAGCUGCGUUGAAGAUGAUGAAAGGAACAUGUCUGAACAUGCAGGAUCUUCAGAUUAUGAACAAACAAGAAAAUGAAGGUGAAGACAACUGAGUUAGCUGCAGAAGCCAAUAUUUUAAGUUUCUCAUGUUGAUCUGGCUGACAUAAUUGAUUUAAUUUUUGUUUUUUUUUUUAAUAUUUCAUUUAACUAUUUUAGUUAAAAACAAUUUUAACAAAAACAAACCUGAUUUUAAAAAACUUGAACUAAAUUCAAAAAUUCAUAUGCUUGUUUUGUUAAAAUAUUAUAUGUUUGCUGUUGAAGAAAAAAAUCCAAAAUACAUAACGUUGUUGUUUUAGUUAAAUAAAACAAUUUAAAUG
Long non-coding RNA from Emys orbicularis (European pond turtle), 603 nucleotides. RefSeq lists it as uncharacterized. The record is from RefSeq and is a predicted model, not a curated record. The transcript has 2 exons. Lineage: Eukaryota; Metazoa; Chordata; Testudines; Emydidae.